This 253-nucleotide ribosomal RNA is filed under the name uncultured bacterium. Its description in RNAcentral is "partial 16S ribosomal RNA". It matches the Rfam family "Bacterial small subunit ribosomal RNA", at positions 524 to 776 of the family's 1533-position model. The record is from RNAcentral.
GACGAACCGUACGAACGUUAUUCGGAAUUACUGGGCUUAAAGGGUGCGUAGGCGGCGCAGUAAGUUGGGUGUGAAAUCUCGGAGCUUAACUCCGAAACUGCAUUCGAUACUGCCGUGCUUGAGGACUGGAGAGGAGACUGGAAUUUACGGUGUAGCGGUGAAAUGCGUAGAUAUCGUAAGGAAGACCAGUGGCGAAGGCGGGUCUCUGGACAGUAACUGACGCUGAGGAGCGAAAGCGUGGGGAGCGAACAGG